GAAGGGUGCAAGCGUUACUCGGAAUUACUGGGCGUAAAGCGUGCGUAGGUGGUUCGUUAAGUCUGAUGUGAAAGCCCUGGGCUCAACCUGGGAAUGGCACUGGAUACUGGCGGGCUGGAGUGCGGUAGAGGAUGGCGGAAUUCCCGGUGUAGCAGUGAAAUGCGUAGAGAUCGGGAGGAACAUCCGAGGCGAAGGCGGCCAUCUGGACCAGCACUGACACUGAGGCACGAAGGCGUGGGGAGCAAACAGGAUUAGAUACCCUGGUAGUCCACGCCCUAAACGAUGCGAACUGGAUGUUGGGAGCAACUAGGCUCUCAGUAUCGAAGCUAACGCGUUAAGUUCGCCGCCUGGGGAGUACGGUCGCAAGACUG
RNAcentral lists this ribosomal RNA (371 nucleotides) under uncultured bacterium. RNAcentral's name for it is "bacterial SSU rRNA". It matches the Rfam family "Bacterial small subunit ribosomal RNA", at positions 527 to 896 of the family's 1533-position model. The record is from RNAcentral.